Molecule: long non-coding RNA, 176 nt
Organism: Dermochelys coriacea (leatherback sea turtle)
Lineage: Eukaryota; Metazoa; Chordata; Testudines; Dermochelyidae
Exons: 3
Source: RefSeq, a predicted model, not a curated record
ACAGAGAUUCCAUGGCAAGAACCGCAUUGAACUCUGGGACCAGAAAAGGAGGGAAGCACUGCAUCAUGGAGAAUCUCUGCUCCAGAUAUUAAUGAACCUAUGCCUUCACACACUCAGCUCAGCAGUUAUCAGACCAAUUCUAGUAAUGAAUCCUUGAUUGAUAUCCAAAAUACUGA